Molecule: long non-coding RNA, 1913 nt
Filed under: Equus caballus (horse)
Lineage: Eukaryota; Metazoa; Chordata; Mammalia; Perissodactyla; Equidae
Description: lncRNA (ENSECAG00000050253.1)
Source: RNAcentral
CAUUUUUCAGAACACGAUGCAGACAUGCACAACUACUUGAGACAGGGACUCCAAAAGUGAUGAGGAAGGAGACAGCAAAGGGACCCAUCUGUCCCAAUCUCUAUCUGGACCAGUAGUCAUAUGACACGUGCUGUGUACAUUGAAGAGAUAAAUUUCCAAAUUCCAUUGCAAAGUAAACAAGAGUAUAACUGGAAAACGUCAUUGGAAAAGGAGGACGUAAAAAUGUAAGGCUUCUAUUACGUGUCCUUUGGGAAACAGGGCAGGACAAUAGCAGCCUGUGUUGUUAAAGAACACAUUCAGACUUGAGGUACAUUAGCUUUGAACCUUCCUUGGGUCACAGAAUCCUUCUACAAAUAUUUAGAAGCAAUUGCAGCUUGCCGAUUUGGUCAUUGUGGCAAUAAAAAUGCCAAAGAAUAAAGAGCGAUCAGUGUGGUUGGACAUUUUUGAAAGUUAGGAGAGUAUAUGCAACACAUUUAGAUGCAUGGGAACACUUGGGUAACGUGUGUGAGGGUAGAGGCAGAGUGACUGUCAGGUCACACUUGACCAAUGAAUGAUAUCAGUUAGAACAAAAAUUUGGAACACAGAAUGGAUAGAGAUGCUUGACUCAGCAGUUUGGGAUCUUCCCUUCUCUUUCAGUACUGGGUAAGUAUGUGUUGCAUAGACAUGGACCUUCACCCUUGGAACAUAUGAAACAAGUAUUAACUUAGAAUGUUUUCCGGAAAUAUAUAGAAUAAAUCCCACAUGCAUAUCAACGUAAUGUCCUUCGUUUCGUUAACUUCUUAAAGAAACUCUGGAUAAUGACUUCAGGACAGAACAAGCCAAUGUUUCCAGGGAUGGCAAGGGAUGAAAUGCAAAUAGUAGGAAUGGAAGUGGAUGAAGGGAAGAGGAAGGGAAACGGACAGUACUUCCAUUUUAAAUGGAAGAAGCCCCACACCAUCCAAUUUCGGUGGGAACAGUCAAAACUCAGGAGAAGUGCAUGUAAAUGGAUGGCUUAGAGAUAUAAUGGCAGGGGUCUCUUAGAGGCCAAGAAACCAGGCAUCCUAGGGAGCUAUGGAAGUAGAAGGAUAUCAGACAACUUACGGAAGUCUUUCUUCAGUUCCUCUGAAAAAAAAAGAGCAAUGUUCAAUUUCAAUUUCACAAGAUGGAAACGCGAAAUAAAUGGAAAUUUCUUGAAAUUCAGUAUUUAAAAUUACCACCAGCAAGGUUUAGCUCACCCCACACUCACACACACACACACACACACACACACACACACACAUACACAAACACACAGCAAGAGAUCUACACAGUGGCUCAGGUAAGCAGUGGAAUACGUUAUAAGAACUUGCCUUUUUCAUGUUCAGUCCUUGCUGAAAAGUAAAGGAAGACAGGAAGAAUUUAUUGCAAAGAAAGGUACAUUGCAGGAAAUGAGCAGCACCGCCAUUUGAAACCCUUUCAUAGUUUACUCUGUGAUGCAAAUUGACCCAUAUUUGUGAGAAUUAGAACCUCAACUUUCCAAAGGACAUGUCAUCCAUCAGAGGCACAGUUUUUUUACAUCCUUCCACUACUUAGUGCAAAAGGAAUGAAGAUAGACAAGGAAACCAUGAGGGGAGAAAUGAUAGGACUUCCUUUAGUAUUAGCAAUAUCAAUCCGUCCUCUUUAGUCAGACUGACAUGUUUUUCAGAAGACGAUGCCGACAUGCUGACAUACAUGAGUCAGGCACUCCAAAAGUGAUGAUGAAGGGGACAGUAAAGGCACCCACCUGUCCCAAUCUCUAUCUGGGUCAGUACUCAUAUGACAUGUGCUGUGUACAUUGAAGAGAGAAAUUUGUAAAUUCCAUUCCAAAGAAAACAAGAGUAUAACUGGAAAACGUCAUUGGAAAAGGAAGACGUAAAAAUGUAAGGAUUCUAUAAUGUGUCCUUUGGGAAAAAUCC